GAUGUGUAGGUGCUGCAUGGUUGUCGUCAGCUCGUGCCGUGAGGUGUCGGCUUAAGUGCCAUAACGAGCGCAACCCUCAUCAUUAGUUACCAUCAGGUAAGGCUGGGGACUCUAAUGAGACUGCCAUCGUAAGAUGUGAGGAAGGUGGGGAUGACGUCAAAUCAGCACGGCCCUUACGUCCGGGGCGACACACGUGUUACAAUGGGUGGUACAAAGGGCAGCUACCUGGCGACAGGAUGCUAAUCUCGAAAACCGCUCUCAGUUCGGAUCGGAGUCUGCAACUCGACUCCGUGAAGCUGGAUUCGCUAGUAAUCGCGCAUCAGCCACGGCGCGGUGAAUACGUUCCCGGGCCUU
This 354-nucleotide ribosomal RNA is filed under the name uncultured Proteiniphilum sp. RNAcentral describes it as "bacterial SSU rRNA". It matches the Rfam family "Bacterial small subunit ribosomal RNA", at positions 1029 to 1382 of the family's 1533-position model. Lineage: Bacteria; Pseudomonadati; Bacteroidota; Bacteroidia; Bacteroidales; Dysgonomonadaceae. The record is from RNAcentral.